GACGAACGCUGGCGGCGUGCUUAACACAUGCAAGUCGAACGGAAAGGCCCUGCUUUUGUGGGGUGCUCGAGUGGCGAACGGGUGAGUAACACGUGAGUAACCUGCCCUUGACUUUGGGAUAACUUCAGGAAACUGGGGCUAAUACCGGAUAGGAGCUCCUGCUGCAUGGUGGGGUUGGAAAGUUUCGGCGGUUGGGGAUGGACUCGCGGCUUAUCAGCUUGUUGGUGGGGUAGUGGCUUACCAAGGCUUUGACGGGUAGCCGGCCUGAGAGGGUGACCGGCCACAUUGGGACUGAGAUACGGCCCAGACUCCUACGGGAGGCAGCAGUGGGGAAUAUUGCACAAUGGGCGGGAGCCUGAUGCAGCAACGCCGCGUGCGGGAUGACGGCCUUCGGGUUGUAAACCGCUUUCGCCUGUGACGAAGCGUGAGUGACGGUAAUGGGUAAAGAAGCACCGCCUAACUACGUG
RNAcentral lists this ribosomal RNA (467 nucleotides) under uncultured bacterium. RNAcentral describes it as "partial 16S ribosomal RNA". It matches the Rfam family "Bacterial small subunit ribosomal RNA", at positions 28 to 507 of the family's 1533-position model. The record is from RNAcentral.